AGUGAACGCUGGCGGUGGGCCUAACACAUGCAAGUCGAACGGCAGCACAGUAAGAGCUUGCUCUUACGGGUGGCGAGUGGCGGACGGGUGAGGAAUACAUCGGAAUCUACUUUUUCGUGGGGGAUAACGUAGGGAAACUUACGCUAAUACCGCAUACGACCUACGGGUGAAAGCAGGGGAUCUUCGGACCUUGCGCGAUUGAAUGAGCCGAUGUCGGAUUAGCUAGAUGGCGGGGUAAAGGCCCACCAAGGCGACGAUCCGUAGCUGGUCUGAGAGGAUGAUCAGCCACACUGGAACUGAGACACGGUCCAGACUCCUACGGGAGGCAGCAGUGGGGAAUAUUGGACAAUGGGCGCAAGCCUGAUCCAGCCAUACCGCGUGGGUGAAGAAGGCCUUCGGGUUGUAAAGCCCUUUUGUUGGGAAAGAAAAGCAGCAGGUUAAUACCCCGCUGUUCUGACGGUACCCAAAGAAUAAGCACCGGCUAACUUCGUG
This 492-nucleotide ribosomal RNA is filed under the name uncultured bacterium. Its description in RNAcentral is "partial 16S ribosomal RNA". It matches the Rfam family "Bacterial small subunit ribosomal RNA", at positions 29 to 507 of the family's 1533-position model. The record is from RNAcentral.